GUAAAUUCUGCAUUUGACGUGAUUAUAAAUAUUGCUGUAUAUUUCUCAACCCCAACUGGACUCAGCUUCAGGAGGUAUUCUUCACUUUGCGGUCGCGAGCAGCUCAACAGUUAUAUAGUUGAAGGAUAAGAUACAAGAUUAUAGAGCUUAUAGAGAGGUGCUGGUUUUAGAAGGCAACGGAAGCCCUAGUUUUUUUUUUUUUUUUGAGUUGGGCUCAAAACAUUAUGUAUGAAUGUUUUGUGAUAUAUAUAAUAUAUGUUAUUGAUGGUUUUA
Long non-coding RNA from Salvia miltiorrhiza (redroot sage), 273 nucleotides. RefSeq lists it as uncharacterized. The transcript has 2 exons. The record is from RefSeq and is a predicted model, not a curated record. NCBI's taxonomy places the organism in Eukaryota, Viridiplantae, Streptophyta, Magnoliopsida, Lamiales, Lamiaceae.